Molecule: ribosomal RNA, 487 nt
Filed under: uncultured bacterium
Lineage: Bacteria
Description: partial 16S ribosomal RNA
Rfam family: Bacterial small subunit ribosomal RNA
Source: RNAcentral
GAUAAACGCUGGCGGCGCACAUAAGACAUGCAAGUCGAACGAACUUAAUACCUUGCUUGCAAGGUAAGCGGUUAGUGGCGGACUGGUGAGUAACACGUAAGAAAUCUGCCUAUCAGAGGGGAAUAACAGUGAGAAAUCAUUGCUAAUACCGCAUAUGCCAUAGGAAUCGCAUGCUUCUAGUGGGAAAGGAGUAAUCCGCUGAUAGAUGAGCUUGCGUCUGAUUAGCUAGUUGGUGGGGUAAAGGCCUACCAAGGCGACGAUCAGUAGCCGGACUGAGAGGUUGGACGGCCACAUUGGGACUGAGGUACGGCCCAGACUCCUACGGGAGGCAGCAGUCGGGAAUAUUGCGCAAUGGAGGAAACUCUGACGCAGUGACGCCGCGUAUAGGAAGAAGGUUUUCGGAUUGUAAACUAUUGUCCAUAGGGAAGAUAAAAGACUGUACCUAUGAAGAAAGCUCCAGCUAACUACGUGCCAGCAGCCGCCGUAA